UACGUAGGGGGCAAGCGUUGUCCGGAUUUAUUGGGCGUAAAGAGCGUGUAGGCGGCUUUACAGGUCCGUUGUGAAAACUCGAGGCUCAACCUCGAGACGCCGGUGGAAACCGUAAAGCUAGAGUCCGGAAGAGGAGAGUGGAAUUCCAGGUGUAGCGGUGAAAUGCGUAGAUAUCUGGAGGAACACCGGUGGCGAAGGCGGCAUCCUGGACCAACAUUGACGCUGAGGAGCGAAAGCCAGGGGAGCAAACGGG
RNAcentral lists this ribosomal RNA (253 nucleotides) under uncultured bacterium. Its description in RNAcentral is "partial 16S ribosomal RNA". It matches the Rfam family "Bacterial small subunit ribosomal RNA", at positions 524 to 776 of the family's 1533-position model. The record is from RNAcentral.